ACUCCUACGGGAGGCAGCAGUGGGGAAUAUUGCACAAUGGGCGCAAGCCUGAUGCAGCCAUGCCGCGUGUAUGAAGAAGGCCUUCGGUUGUAAAGUACUUUCAGCAGUGAGGAAGGUGGGUAUGUUAAUAGCAUAUUCAUUUGACGUUAGCUGCAGAAGAAGCACCGGCUAACUCCGUGCCAGCAGCCGCGGUAAUACGGAGGGUGCGAGCGUUAAUCGGAAUUACUGGCGUAAAGCGCAUGCAGGUGGUUUGUUAAGUCAGAUGUGAAAGCCCGGGGCUCAACCUCGGAAUUGCAUUUGAAACUGGCAAACUAGAGUACUGUAGAGGGGGUAGAAUUUCAGGUGUAGCGGUGAAAUGCGUAGAGAUCUGAAGGAAUACCGGUGGCGAAGGCGGCCCCCUGGACAGAUACUGACACUCAGAUGCGAAAGCGU
Molecule: ribosomal RNA, 432 nt
Filed under: uncultured bacterium
Lineage: Bacteria
Description: bacterial SSU rRNA
Rfam family: Bacterial small subunit ribosomal RNA
Source: RNAcentral